This 253-nucleotide ribosomal RNA is filed under the name uncultured bacterium. RNAcentral describes it as "partial 16S ribosomal RNA". It matches the Rfam family "Bacterial small subunit ribosomal RNA", at positions 524 to 776 of the family's 1533-position model. The record is from RNAcentral.
UACGGGGGGGGCAAGCGUUGUUCGGAAUUACUGGGCGUAAAGGGUUCGUAGGUGGCCAAUUAAGUCAGACGUGAAAUCCCUCGGCUUAACCGGGGAACUGCGUCUGAUACUGGAUGGCUUGAGUUCGGGAGAGGGAUGCGGAAUUCCAGGUGUAGCGGUGAAAUGCGUAGAUAUCUGGAGGAACACCGGUGGCGAAGGCGGCAUCCUGGACCGAUACUGACGCUGAGGAGCGAAAGCCAGGGGAGCAAACGGG